This 484-nucleotide ribosomal RNA is filed under the name uncultured bacterium. Its description in RNAcentral is "partial 16S ribosomal RNA". It matches the Rfam family "Bacterial small subunit ribosomal RNA", at positions 29 to 507 of the family's 1533-position model. The record is from RNAcentral.
AUUGAACGCUGGCGGCAUGCUUUACACAUGCAAGUCGAACGGCAGCGCGGGCUUCGGCCUGGCGGCGAGUGGCGAACGGGUGAGUAAUACAUCGGAACGUGCCCAGUAGUGGGGGAUAGCUCGGCGACAGCCGGAUUAAUACCGCAUCCGACCUGAGGGUGAAAGCGGGGGAUCUUCGGACCUCGCGCUAUUUGAGCGGCCGAUGGCAGAUUAGCUAGUUGGUGGGGUAAAGGCCUACCAAGGCGACGAUCUGUAGCUGGUCUGAGAGGACGACCAGCCACACUGGGACUGAGACACGGCCCAGACUCCUACGGGAGGCAGCAGUGGGGAAUUUUGGACAAUGGGCGAAAGCCUGAUCCAGCAAUGCCGCGUGUGUGAUGAAGGCCUUCGGGUUGUAAAGCACUUUUGGCGGGAACGAAAAGGACUGUGCCAAUACCACGGUUCGAUGACGGUACCCGCAGAAUAAGCACCGGCUAACUACGUG